AAUCUACCAAGUAAAUGCUGCAACAAACACUAUGGAGGCAAAAUUCCAGCCGCAGUAGUGAAAUCCUGUGAAGUAACAGAUACCAGAUGCCCCAUGGCUGCUGUAAUCAUAACCACAAGAAAAGGAAUCAGGGUCUGCAUUAACCCAGAGAAGCAAGAUAAAAUAAUGAAGAAAUGUUUAUCACUGGAAGAUAAGAAGAAUGCUUAAAUGAAACACAUGCUUUCAUUUGUUUAUCAGUUUCUAAUGAUGUAAACAGAUAAAUUGAUAAUAAGAAGUAUUAUGGGAUAAGACAUAUAUGCAAGUAUUUAUUUGUUUAUUAAUGUGGAAACUUAUGGUUAUAAAUAAAAUAUAAUGUAUAAAAGAAA
Molecule: non-coding RNA, 365 nt
Organism: Paramormyrops kingsleyae
Lineage: Eukaryota; Metazoa; Chordata; Actinopteri; Osteoglossiformes; Mormyridae
Source: RefSeq, a predicted model, not a curated record